Molecule: long non-coding RNA, 2226 nt
Filed under: Homo sapiens (human)
Lineage: Eukaryota; Metazoa; Chordata; Mammalia; Primates; Hominidae
Description: HSALNT0237312
Source: RNAcentral
AUAAAACCAGGCUGCCCGAGCUAGCAGUAGUAAUUUGCUUGGGUCCUCUUCUAAUGUGUGGCAGGUUUGUUUUUUCGCUCUUUGCAAUUAAAUCUUGCCAUUGCUCACUCUUUGGGUCCACACUGCUUUUAUGAGCUGUAACACUCACCGCGAAGGUCUGCAGCCUCGCUGCUGAAGCCAGCGAGACCACGAACCCACCGGGAGGAACGAACAACUACAGCUGCGCCGCCUUAAGAGCUGUAACACCGCGAAGGUCUGCAGCUUCACUUCUGAGCCAGCGAGACCACGAACCCACUAGAAGGAAGAAACUCCGGACAUGCCCCCUUUAAGAACUGUUAACACUCAGCGCGAGGGUCCGAGGCUUCUUUCUUGAAGUCAGUGAGACCAAGAACCCACCAAUUCUGGACACAGUGACAAGGAAAAGACAGCGGUAAUUGCCACAUUGAGUGAACCAAGUUUCUAAAUGGCUGGCAUUUGCAUAUUAAAGGUUGCCUGCCCGGCCCUUCAAGCCACCUUUUCUGUUAGAAAAGAGAUGGUUCGGGGCUGUUUUUUUAUUACAGGAAAAUUUCCUCCGAGAACCUUUACCCUGAGUAGCUGCCUGGAAAUUAUUUCUUAAGAACACCUGUAUCACCAGCCUGCAUCUCCCUCAAAGCAGAACCUGAGAUAAAAAGGCUUCUGGAUGAACAGCCUCUCUGAGUAUUUGAGUAAAGAACAAAGGCCGUUUUGGGGGAAGUCGGACCUGAAUGGGUCUUGGUGCACAAGAAGCUGAGAAAGCAGGAGAGAAGAAUCCAGAGGAAAAAGAGGGAUUCACACAGGAGGAGAACAGAGAAUGGAGAAGAUCAAUGUUGAAGCUAAAGCACUUGGUCCAUCAAUUCAAAUGUUAAUGUCCUCUGGAAACACCCUCAGAGACAGACCCAGAAAUAAUGUUUAAUCAGAUAUAUGGACAUCCCAUGGCCCAGCCAAAUUGAUGCAUAAAAUUAACCAUCUCAGCAAGGGUGUAUUGCUUACUAUCUUUGAAUUCAGAGUGCUCUGGGAAGCCAUUAGUAUACUUUAGGGGGAAUAAAUGGUGUUAGUUAAUCUAGAACACUGGCUGGGUGGACUUUGGUUAAGGGAAUUCUUACUCACCAUGAAUCCAUCUGCCAAAUGUUUAUUGAGUGCCUACUGUGAAUCACCUGGUAGAGGCUCACAUUUGUCACAGACUGGUAAGAAGGUAGCUUACUUUUCCAAUCUGCACUUUGAUUUAUGCCUUUGCACAUUCUCUUCUGCCUACUUGGUGUCUUUUCUAUGCAUUUUUCAUCACCUGGGAGAUUUCUGCUCAUCCUUCAACAUAUGCCUUAAAAAUCACCUUCUCAGGGAAGCCUUCCCUGCCCUCUAAGCUUGACUUAAAAAGGUUUGCUGUUUUGCCUUUUGCAUUCUUCCAUAAUAGCACCUAUCGCUCUGUAUUGUAAGAAAUCGUUUCUAAGUCUCUUUAAGCUGUGGCCACAGUCCUUAGUACAUAGAAAGUGCUCAAUACAUGUUUGUUAAAUGCACUUGAUUUUUAUAUAUUAGUCCUAUAUCCAGCAACUCUGCUGAAUCCAGUUUCUAAUUUGGGUAGUGAAGCUGUUGAUUUUUUGAGACUUUCUAAGUAUAAAGUCAUAAGUAGCCUUUUUCUUCCUUUCUAAUAUGUAUAUCUUUUUUGUCCCUUUCCUUAUUAAGUAGGAUGGUCACCAGCAAAAUGUUGACAGAUGUGCCUGUUCAUGUUUUGGAUUCUAGAUGAAUGUUUUCAAUAUUUUACCAUUAAGUGUAAUAUUUGCUGUAGAUUUUGAUACAUACCCUCUCUUAGAUUAAAAAAAUUUCCUUCUCUGCUUACUCUGCCAAGUGAUUUUUUUAGUAUCAUGAAGGAAUAUUGCAUUUUAUCAAAUGUUUUCUGCAUCUAUUAUGACUACAUAAUUUUCUGAAUUAUGCUAAUGAUGUGAUUUAAAUGAAUUUAUUUUUAAACAUUAAACCAACCUUGCAUUUCUCAAAUACACUCAACUCGGUUAUAAUGUAUUAUUCCUUUUUAUAUUGCUGUUUACUUAUUUUUUCUUAUAUUUUAUCUAAGAUACUGUAUCAAAGUUCAUGAAUGAUAUCAGCCUAUAAUUUUCCUUUGUGAUACUGUCCUCAUCUGCAUGAAGGUUAUGCUUGUAUUAUUUUAAAAGUUACAAAGUUUCAAUUAUCUGGAAGAAUGUAUAAGAUUGGUGUUACGUC